This 1394-nucleotide ribosomal RNA is filed under the name Kalcapion semivittatum. Its description in RNAcentral is "partial 16S ribosomal RNA". The stretch from base 1217 to 1278 matches the Rfam family "tRNA". The record is from RNAcentral. Lineage: Eukaryota; Metazoa; Arthropoda; Insecta; Coleoptera; Brentidae.
UUCAGAGGAACCUGUCCUAUAAUUGAUAGUCCACGAUUUAAUUUACUUAUUUUAAUAAUUUACAUAUCGCCGUAGUUAGAAUAUUUUUAAAAAAUUUUAAUGUUCAAAAUUUUUUUUUGAGAAAGUAAUUCAGGUCAAGGUGUAGUUUAUAGAUAAGAAGAGAUGGGUUACAAUAAAUUUAUUUAAAUGGAUAAUUAUUUUAAAAAUUAUUUGAAGGUGGAUUUGAAAGUAAUUUAAAUUAAAUAAUUUAAAUGAUUUUAGCUCUAAAAUAUGUACAUAUCGCCCGUCAUUUUCACUAUAAAGUGGAACAAGUCGUAACAUAGUAGGUGUACUGGAAAGUGUACCUAGAAAGGCAAAUUAGAGCUUGAUAUAAAGCAUUUUAUUUACAUUAAAAAGUUUAUUGUGAAAAUCAAUAUAAUUUGAUUAAAUUUUAUUAUUAAAAUUUAAUUUAAAGUUUAUUUUUUUUAUUUAAAAAAAAUAAUUUUAUUUUUUAUUAUAUUAAUUUGAAAAAAUUUUUGUUAUUAUAGUUAAUUAGUAUUGUGAAGGAAUUAAAAUUAAAAGUUUAAAAGAAUAAUUUAUUUUUAAAAAACAUGGCCUAUUGAAAAUAAUUUUAGGUUUAGCCUGCCCAAUGAAAAUUUAAAUGGCCGCAGUAUAUUAACUGUGCAAAGGUAGCAUAAUCAUUUGUUUUUUAAUUGAAAGCUGGAAUGAAAGGUUGAAUGAGAAAAUAACUGUCUCUAAUUAAAUUUUUUAAAAUUUUAUUUUUAAGUAAAAAAGCUUAAAUAUUUUUUGAAGACGAGAAGACCCUAUAGAGUUUGAUAGUUAAAAUUUUGGAUAGUUUGGAAUUAAUAUUUUUAAUUUAUAAAAUUAUUUAAUUGGGGUGAUUGAAAAAUUUAAUUAACUUUUUUUUUAUUUUUACAUAAAUUAAUGAAUAAUUGAUCCUUAAAAAGAUUAAAAGAAUAAAUUACCUUAGGGAUAACAGCGUAAUUUUUUUUUAGAGUUCAAAUUAAAAAAAAAGAUUGCGACCUCGAUGUUGGAUUAAAAUAAAUAAUUGGUGUAGAAGCUAAUUUAUUUAGUCUGUUCGACUAUUGAAAUUUUACUUGAUCUGAGUUCAAACCGGUGUGAGCCAGGUUGGUUUCUAUCUCAAAUUAGUUAAUUUAUUUUAGUACGAAAGGACCGGAUGAGUAAUUAAAAAUUUUAUUUAUGAAUAAUAAUAAAAGUUAUUUUGGCAGAAUAGUGCAAUAGAUUUAGAAUCUAAAAAUGUAAUUUUUACAAAUAAUACUUGUUGAUAAAGGAAUUUUUUAUAAUUUUAUUUUCUAUAAUUAUUUUAUCUUUAAGAAUUAUAAUUAGUGUAGCUUUUUUGACUUUAUUAGAGCGUAAAGUAUUAGGAUAUAUUC